This 394-nucleotide ribosomal RNA is filed under the name uncultured Glomeromycotina. RNAcentral describes it as "SSU rRNA". It matches the Rfam family "Eukaryotic small subunit ribosomal RNA", at positions 569 to 970 of the family's 1831-position model. Lineage: Eukaryota; Fungi; Glomeromycota. The record is from RNAcentral.
AGCAGCCGCAGUAAUUCCAGCUCCAAUAGCGUAUAUUAAAGUUGUUGUAGUUAAAAAGCUCGUAGUUGAAUUUCGAGAUUCUACCGUCGGUCAGGCUACCAAGUCUGUACUGGUGUAUAGAAUUUCUACCUUCUGGGAACCAUCAUGUUAUUAAUUUAGCAUAGUGGGAAACCAGGACCUUUACCUUGAAAUAUUAGAGUGUUCAAAGCAGGCUUAUGUCUGAAUAUAUUAGUAUGCAAUAAUAGAAUAGGACGGUGGUUCUGUUUUGUUGGUUUCUGAAUCACCGUAAUGAUUAAUAGGGAUAGUUGGGGGCAUUAGUAUUCAAUUGUCAGAGGUGAAAUUCUUGGAUUUAUUGAAGACUAACUUCUGUGAAAGCAUUUGCCAAGAAUGUUUU